RNAcentral lists this ribosomal RNA (490 nucleotides) under uncultured bacterium. RNAcentral describes it as "partial 16S ribosomal RNA". It matches the Rfam family "Bacterial small subunit ribosomal RNA", at positions 28 to 507 of the family's 1533-position model. The record is from RNAcentral.
GAUGAACGCUAGCUACAGGCUUAACACAUGCAAGUCGAGGGGAAACGAUGAGAGAGCUUGCUCUCUUAGGCGUCGACCGGCGCACGGGUGAGUAACGCGUAUCCAACCUACCCAUUACAGGGGGAUAACCUUGCGAAAGUAAGACUAAUACCCCAUGGCAUUUUAUGGUGGCAUCAUUAUAGGAUUAAAGAUUUAUUGGUAAUGGAUGGGGAUGCGUCUGAUUAGCUUGUUGGCGGGGUAACGGCCCACCAAGGCAACGAUCAGUAGGGGUUCUGAGAGGAAGGUCCCCCACAUUGGAACUGAGACACGGUCCAAAAUCCUACGGGAGGCAGCAGUGAGGAAUAUUGGUCAAUGGGCGAGAGCUUGAACCAGCCAAGUAGCGUGCAGGAUGACGGCCCUAUGGGUUGUAAACUGCUUUUAUAGGGGAAUAAAGUGAGCUACGUGUAGUUUAUUGCAUGUACCCUAUGAAUAAGGACCGGCUAAUUCCGUG